Molecule: ribosomal RNA, 270 nt
Filed under: uncultured archaeon
Lineage: Archaea
Description: partial 16S ribosomal RNA
Rfam family: Archaeal small subunit ribosomal RNA
Source: RNAcentral
CAGCCCCCCGAGUGGUAGGGAUGUUUAUUUGGCCUAAAGCGUCCGUAGCCGGUUUGGUAAAUCUCUCGUUAAAUCCAACGUCCUAAGCGUUGGGCUGCGAGGGAGACUGCCAAGCUAGAGGGUGGGAGAGGUCAGCGGUAUUCCUGGGGUAGGGGCGAAAUCCUUUGAUCCCAGGAGGACCACCAGUGGCGAAGGCUGCUGACUAGAACACGCCUGACGGUGAGGGACGAAAGCUGGGGUAGCGAAUCGGAUUAGAUACCCGAGUAGUCC